UACGGAGGAUCCAAGCGUUAUCCGGAAUCAUUGGGUUUAAAGGGUCCGUAGGUGGGCCGUUAAGUCAGAGGUGAAAUCCUGCAGCUCAACUGUAGAAUUGCCUUUGAUACUGGCGGCCUUGAAUCAUUGUGAAGUGGUUAGAAUAUGUGGUGUAGCGGUGAAAUGCAUAGAUAUCACAUAGAAUACCGAUUGCGAAGGCAGAUCACUAACAAUGGAUUGACACUGAUGGACGAAAGCGUGGGGAGCGAACAGG
Molecule: ribosomal RNA, 253 nt
Filed under: uncultured bacterium
Lineage: Bacteria
Description: partial 16S ribosomal RNA
Rfam family: Bacterial small subunit ribosomal RNA
Source: RNAcentral